This 166-nucleotide non-coding RNA is filed under the name Actinomycetota bacterium. RNAcentral describes it as "Actinobacteria bacterium GlcN6P sequence". It matches the Rfam family "glmS glucosamine-6-phosphate activated ribozyme aptamer". From Rfam's summary of the family: This entry contains a glucosamine-6-phosphate activated ribozyme that is found in the mRNA for GlmS. GlmS is an enzyme that uses fructose-6-phosphate and glutamine to generate glucosamine-6-phosphate. The ribozyme catalyses self cleavage of the glmS mRNA that is thought to regulate GlmS activity. Lineage: Bacteria; Bacillati; Actinomycetota. The record is from RNAcentral.
ACCCGAACUGGAGCGCCAGGCCUGGAUCGCCGCAAGGCGGUGCAGGCGACGAGGUAGAGGGAUCAUCGAAAGACUCGGCGGAUGCCCUCUCGGCCGCUUACGGUCGUGACGAUGCGGAUGAAAACCCGGGAGUGACCCCGGAACAGAGGCCGCAGCGAAGUGAGGC